This 450-nucleotide ribosomal RNA is filed under the name uncultured bacterium. RNAcentral describes it as "partial 16S ribosomal RNA". It matches the Rfam family "Bacterial small subunit ribosomal RNA", at positions 354 to 796 of the family's 1533-position model. The record is from RNAcentral.
GUGGGGAAUUUUGGACAAUGGGCGCAAGCCUGAUCCAGCAAUGCCGCGUGCAGGAAGAAGGCCUUCGGGUUGUAAACUGCUUUUGUACGGAACGAAACGGUCCUGGUUAAUACCUGGGGCUAAUGACGGUACCGUAAGAAUAAGCACCGGCUAACUACGUGCCAGCAGCCGCGGUAAUACGUAGGGUGCAAGCGUUAAUCGGAAUUACUGGGCGUAAAGCGUGCGCAGGCGGUUUUGUAAGACAGGCGUGAAAUCCCCGGGCUCAACCUGGGAAUUGCGCUUGUGACUGCAAGGCUGGAGUGCGGCAGAGGGGGAUGGAAUUCCGCGUGUAGCAGUGAAAUGCGUAGAUAUGCGGAGGAACACCGAUGGCGAAGGCAAUCCCCUGGGCCUGCACUGACGCUCAUGCACGAAAGCGUGGGGAGCAAACAGGAUUAGAUACCCUAGUAGUCC